This 240-nucleotide unclassified non-coding RNA is filed under the name soil metagenome. RNAcentral describes it as "partial contains 5.8S ribosomal RNA, internal transcribed spacer 2, and large subunit ribosomal RNA". The record is from RNAcentral.
AACACUGUUAACCUGCGGUACCUGCGGAAGGAUCAUUACAGAGUUCGUGCCCUCGCGGGUAGAUCUCCCACCCUUUGUGUAUUCCUUACAUUUGUUGCUUUGGCAGGCCGUUGGUUCGCCAACCACCGGCUUUACGGGCUGGUGCGUGCCUGCCAGAGGACCCCCCAAACUCGGUUUGUUAGUGUCGUCUGAGUACCAUAACAAUCGUUAAAACUUUUAACAAUGGAUCUCAGAUCGGAA